UCACCGUUCGCGGCGAAUUGUAAUCUUGAGUGGUCAUGCUCACCGGGUUUUGACGCAGAAGUGCCCUGGAACGGGCCGCCAUAGAGGGUGAUAGCCCCGUACGUGGUGUCGAGGCCUAACGAGCUGGCAUACAAAGAGUCGGGUUGUUUGGUAUUGCAGCCCUAAGCGGGAGAUAAACUUCUUCUAAGGCUAAAUAUAUGUGGGAAACCGAUAGCGAACAAGUACUGUGAAGGAAAGAUGAAAAGCACUUUGGAAAGAGAGUUAAAAGACCUGAAACCGUUGAGGAGGAAGCGGUAGAGAUGAAUACUUCGGCGAAGCACUGGGAAAUCGGCCUAACUAAGCAGGGCAUGUCGUACGCCAAAGGCGGCGGUUUUGUGAUAGGGAAGCCGGUCACUUGUGCGGCGUCGUGAGGCCGGAUGGGGUGACGUGAUCACAGAGGCCUGUCAGACCUGGCUUCUUUCGGGAGGCAGUCUGGGAGUGCCGGUGAAUGCGUGGCCUGAGGAGCUUUGUGCGAUCCGGUCAAAAUGGUCUUUACCGACUCGUCUUGAAACACGAACCAAGGAGUCUU
Molecule: ribosomal RNA, 568 nt
Filed under: uncultured Varistrombidium
Lineage: Eukaryota; Ciliophora; Spirotrichea; Strombidiidae
Description: partial large subunit ribosomal RNA
Rfam family: Eukaryotic large subunit ribosomal RNA
Source: RNAcentral